RNAcentral lists this ribosomal RNA (437 nucleotides) under uncultured anaerobic ammonium-oxidizing bacterium. RNAcentral describes it as "bacterial SSU rRNA". It matches the Rfam family "Bacterial small subunit ribosomal RNA", at positions 383 to 810 of the family's 1533-position model. The record is from RNAcentral.
GUGACGAAGCGACGCCGCGUGCGGGAGGAAGGCCUUCGGGUUGUAAACCGCUGUCGGGAGUUAAGAAAUGCAAGGAUGUUAAUAGCGUUCUUGCUUGACUAAGGCUCCGGAGGAAGCCACGGCUAACUCUGUGCCAGCAGCCGCGGUAAUACAGAGGCGGCAAGCGUUGUUCGGAAUUAUUGGGCGUAAAGAGCACGUAGGCGGCUGUGUAAGUCGGUUGUGAAAGCCUUCCGCUCAACGGAAGAACGGCAUCCGAUACUGCAUGGCUUGAGUGUGGGAGGGGAGAGUGGAACUUCUGGUGGAGCGGUGAAAUGCGUAGAUAUCAGAAGGAACACCGGCGGCGAAGGCGACUCUCUGGUCCAUAACUGACGCUGAGUGUGCGAAAGCUAGGGGAGCAAACGGGAUUAGAUACCCCGGUAGUCCUAGCCGUAAACGAU